CUUUGUUGGUAUUCAUGAAACUCCGGGGGAGAAGGUGUAAAUCUCACGCCAGGCCGUACCCAGCAGUUAGACCCAAUCUUUUU
Molecule: long non-coding RNA, 83 nt
Organism: Xiphophorus couchianus (Monterrey platyfish)
Lineage: Eukaryota; Metazoa; Chordata; Actinopteri; Cyprinodontiformes; Poeciliidae
Exons: 3
Source: RefSeq, a predicted model, not a curated record